UCCGGCUUAUCACCGGCAGUCCCUCUAGAGUGCCCAACUAAAUGAUGGCAACACAGGACAGGGGUUGCGCUCGUUGCGGGACUUAACCCAACAUCUCACGGCACGAGCUGACGACAGCCAUGCACCACCUGCGCAGAAGUCCCUUGCGGAGUAACGGUGUUUCCACCGUCGUUGAGAAGCCGUUCGAGCCCAGGUAAAGUUCUUCGCGUUGCGUCGAAUUGAACCACAUGCUCCACCGCUUGUGCGGGCCCCCGUCAAUUCCUUUGAGUUUCAGCCUUGCGACUGUACUCCCCAGGCGGCAUAUUUAACGCGUUAGCUCCGGCACAGAUCAACUGAAUGACCUACACCAAAUAUGCAUCGUUUAGGGCGUGGACUAC
This 377-nucleotide unclassified non-coding RNA is filed under the name uncultured Bryobacterales bacterium. Its description in RNAcentral is "contains 16S-23S intergenic spacer region". Lineage: Bacteria; Pseudomonadati; Acidobacteriota; Terriglobia; Bryobacterales. The record is from RNAcentral.